GUGAGAAGUAUCUUUCUCGUGGUCAACUUAUGAGGGCAAAGAGACAUAGGAAUUUUUCAUAAUCCCACAGAUCAGAUUCGUUACUAUAUGCUCAUUUACUUAAUUUCUUUCAUUAAUAAACAGUCCCCACCUAACCUAUUUCCCAUACUUUCCUUAACCUCUACUUUUCUUUCAAGAAGACUCUACCUCUCUCCGACUUCCAUAGUUUCAAGAUUUUAUGAUCAAGCUACUUCAACAACACUAAGUGUGGUCUUCCAAUUUAAUAUUAUGGGUUUUGGAAUUUCCGAUGGUGUUUGUAACACCGGCCUCGGUCUAGGACUAAGCUGCCAUGACAAGCAACAAAACUGUUCUCAAUCCGAUCAUCAUCUUCAACAAAAGAAGAAGAGACUUUCCUUGAAAUAUGAUCACAUGUUCCCUUCUCUUACAUUAGGCCCUCCACAAGAGCCAUAUCCAUCGGCUAAUAAGGUAGAAGCAGAUUUGCAACCGCAGCCGCAGGCAUCGUCUCCUAGUGCAGCAUCCUCAUCUUCUAACUCACGUGUCAAGAAAGAGAGAGAGUUUGCUGGUGAAGAAGUAGAAGUGGAGAGAGUCUCUUCAAGGGUUAGUGAUGAAGAUGAAGAAGGAAGUCCCAGAAAGAAACUUAGACUUACCAAACAACAGUCGGCUACUUUGGAAGACAGCUUCAAAGAACACAGCACUCUCAAUCCUGUAUAUAUACCAUUUUUUCAUCAUCUUUAUAUUCUCUCUAGUAUUAUUGUAUCUAUGAUUUUAUAAGGGACAAUAUUUUUAUAUGUUCUUGACUUUGGUAUUUCUUUUCUUCAAUUAUAUAUAUUAGAAGCAAAAGCAAGCCUUGGCAGAACAGCUGAAUCUCAGGCCGCGUCAAGUAGAAGUGUGGUUCCAGAACAGAAGAGCCAGGUAAGAUAUAUAGCCAACCAAACUUUCUUAGUGGUUCUUGUGUUGUCCUUGUUUGAUAGCUAUUAAUAAACUUGAGUGUUUUCUUUAAUUAAUAAUCUUGAAAAAUUUUCUACUAAGUGUUUGAUCUAUAUGCACGAAAUAUUCUGUCCUCUUUAUUUGGGCAGGACUAAGCUGAAGCAAACUGAGGUAGAUUGUGAGGUACUAAAGAAAUGUUGCGAAACACUAACAGAAGAGAACAAGAGGCUACAAAAGGAGCUACAAGAGCUUAAAUCGUUGAAACUGGCUGCACCACUAUAUAUGCAGCUGCCUGCAGCCACCCUCACUAUGUGCCCUUCUUGUGAGAGGAUUAACAGUGGCGGGGACGCCUCUUCUACUAGCACUUUAACGGUUGGACCAAAGCCUCAUUUCUACAGUCCCUUCACCCACCCAUCUGCAGCUUGCUAGGCCAACCUAUAUAUAUGAGCCCUGAACACCAGUAUUAUUUUUAUUGAUGGCUUCAUGUGUCAUAUAAUGAUCAAGGACUAGAUACUUAAACUAAUUUUGUAGAGUCUCCUCCUUCCGUCCCUUUUCUCUCUAUCUCUCUAGCUCUUUUAUCUGUAUACAUGCUUGUAAAGUCUUAACAAAUUUCUGUUAAGGAAUUUAUUACUUAGUUAUUUGUAUGGGAACUUGUUCUUUAUCCUCUAAAUGAAUUACUUAAUUAUACUAUAUUCUUGUGUACAAAUGGAGAAUGCUGCUUUUCUUGACCAGUUUGUA
This 1665-nucleotide unclassified non-coding RNA is filed under the name Hevea brasiliensis (rubber tree). The record is from RNAcentral. Lineage: Eukaryota; Viridiplantae; Streptophyta; Magnoliopsida; Malpighiales; Euphorbiaceae.